RNAcentral lists this ribosomal RNA (418 nucleotides) under uncultured bacterium. RNAcentral describes it as "bacterial SSU rRNA". It matches the Rfam family "Bacterial small subunit ribosomal RNA", at positions 49 to 487 of the family's 1533-position model. The record is from RNAcentral.
UAACACAUGCAAGUCGAGCGGAUGAGAAGAGCUUGCUCUUCGAUUCAGCGGCGGACGGGUGAGUAAUGCCUAGGAAUCUGCCUGAUAGUGGGGGACAACGUUUCGAAAGGAACGCUAAUACCGCAUACGUCCUACGGGAGAAAGCAGGGGACCUUCGGGCCUUGCGCUAUCAGAUGAGCCUAGGUCGGAUUAGCUAGUUGGUGGGGUAAUGGCUCACCAAGGCGACGAUCCGUAACUGGUCUGAGAGGAUGAUCAGCCACACUGGGACUGAGACACGGCCCAGACUCCUACGGGAGGCAGCAGUGGGGAAUAUUGGACAAUGGGCGCAAGCCUGAUCCAGCCAUGCCGCGUGAGUGAUGAAGGCCUUAGGGUUGUAAAGCUCUUUCGCCAACGAAGAUAAUGACGGUAGUCGGAGAAG